Pelobates cultripes (western spadefoot toad) is the source of this 260-nucleotide non-coding RNA. NCBI's taxonomy places the organism in Eukaryota, Metazoa, Chordata, Amphibia, Anura, Pelobatidae. The record is from the annotation of a GenBank genome assembly.
AAAUAAUACAGCCAUCACUCAAUCAAUAGCAGAGGACAUCUAUCACAUGGCGGAAGUGAGAGAAAGACAAUAUUGCAUGAAUUACAUGGGGUCAAAUAUUAUUAAUAAUAUAUAUGUAUAUUGGAAACUGUAAAUGAAUGUCAAGUAUACAUGCAAAAAGUAGAAUGAAAAAAGGCUGAAUGCUUCUUGCUUGCAUGCACAUACAUAAUUACAAAAAGUAGGGAAUGGUAGAAAGAAGUUGAAGUGGAAGAAAGUUCAAG